UACGGAGGAUCCAAGCGUUGUCCGGAUUUACUGGGUUUAAAGGGUGCGUAGGUGGACUUUUAAGUCGGUGGUGAAAGCCUGUAGCUUAACUAUAGAAUUGCCAUUGAAACUGAAAGUCUUGAGUACAGUUGAGGUGAGCGGAAUGUAUCAUGUAGCGGUGAAAUGCUUAGAUAUGAUACAGAACACCGAUUGCGAAGGCAGCUCACUAAACUGCAACUGACACUGAGGCACGAAAGCGUGGGGAUCAAACGGG
RNAcentral lists this ribosomal RNA (253 nucleotides) under uncultured bacterium. RNAcentral describes it as "partial 16S ribosomal RNA". It matches the Rfam family "Bacterial small subunit ribosomal RNA", at positions 524 to 776 of the family's 1533-position model. The record is from RNAcentral.